RNAcentral lists this ribosomal RNA (259 nucleotides) under uncultured bacterium. RNAcentral describes it as "partial 16S ribosomal RNA". It matches the Rfam family "Bacterial small subunit ribosomal RNA", at positions 335 to 586 of the family's 1533-position model. The record is from RNAcentral.
ACUCCUACGGGAGGCAGCAGUAGGGAAUCUUCCACAAUGGACGAAAGUCUGAUGGAGCAACGCCGCGUGAGUGAAGAAGGGUUUCGGCUCGUAAAGCUCUGUUGGGAGUGAAGAAAGAUAGAGGUAGUAACUGGCCUUUAUUUGACGGUAAUUACUUAGAAAGUCACGGCUAACUACGUGCCAGCAGCCGCGGUAAUACGUAGGGGGCAAGCGUUGUCCGGGGUUAUUGGGCGGAAAGCGGGUGCAGGCGGGUCAAUAA